Molecule: ribosomal RNA, 467 nt
Filed under: uncultured bacterium
Lineage: Bacteria
Description: partial 16S ribosomal RNA
Rfam family: Bacterial small subunit ribosomal RNA
Source: RNAcentral
ACGAACGCUGGCGGCGUGCUUAACACAUGCCAGUCGAACGGAAAGGCCCUGCUUUUGUGGGGUGCUCGAGUGGCGAACGGGUGAGUAACACGUGAGUAACCUGCCCUUGACUUUGGGAUAACUUCAGGAAACUGGGGCUAAUACCGGAUAGGAGCUCCUGCUGCAUGGUGGGGGUUGGAAAGUUUCGGCGGUUGGGGAUGGACUCGCGGGUUAUCAGCUUGUUGGUGGGGUAGUGGCUUACCAAGGCUUUGACGGGUAGCCGGCCUGAGAGGGUGACCGGCCACAUUGGGACUGAGAUACGGCCCAGACUCCUACGGGAGGCAGCAGUGGGGAAUAUUGCACAAUGGGCGGAAGCCUGAUGCAGCAACGCCGCGUGCGGGAUGACGGCCUUCGGGUUGUAAACCGCUUCCGCCUGUGACGAAGCGUGAGUGACGGUAAUGGGUAAAGAAGCACCGGCUAACUACGUG